This 253-nucleotide ribosomal RNA is filed under the name uncultured bacterium. RNAcentral's name for it is "partial 16S ribosomal RNA". It matches the Rfam family "Bacterial small subunit ribosomal RNA", at positions 524 to 776 of the family's 1533-position model. The record is from RNAcentral.
GACAGAGGGUGCAAACGUUGUUCGGAAUUACUGGGCGUAAAGCGUGUGUAGGCGGCCAUGUAAGUCAGGUGUGAAAGCCCCGGGCUCAACCCGGGAAGUGCACUUGAUACUGCGUGGCUUGAGUACUGGAGAGGUUGGUGGAAUUCUCGGUGUAGAGGUGAAAUUCGUAGAUAUCGAGAGGAACACCGGUGGCGAAGGCGGCCAACUGGACAGAUACUGACGCUGAGACACGAAAGCGUGGGGAGCAAACAGG